RNAcentral lists this non-coding RNA (92 nucleotides) under chicken gut metagenome. Its description in RNAcentral is "SAM riboswitch (S box leader)". It matches the Rfam family "SAM riboswitch aptamer (S box leader)". From Rfam's summary of the family: The SAM riboswitch is found upstream of a number of genes which code for proteins involved in methionine or cysteine biosynthesis in Gram-positive bacteria. The record is from RNAcentral.
CUUAUCAAGAGUGACGGAGGGAUCAGGCCCGAUGAAGUCCAGCAACCUGCCUUGUGCAAGGUGCUAAAUCCUGCGGGAAACCGAAAGAUAAG